RNAcentral lists this ribosomal RNA (465 nucleotides) under Vreelandella stevensii. RNAcentral describes it as "partial 16S ribosomal RNA". It matches the Rfam family "Bacterial small subunit ribosomal RNA", at positions 338 to 795 of the family's 1533-position model. The record is from RNAcentral. Lineage: Bacteria; Pseudomonadati; Pseudomonadota; Gammaproteobacteria; Oceanospirillales; Halomonadaceae.
CCUACGGGUGGCAGCAGUGGGGAAUAUUGGACAAUGGGGGGAACCCUGAUCCAGCCAUGCCGCAUGUGUGAAGAAGGCCCUCGGGUUGUAAAGCACUUUCAGUGAGGAAGAACGCCUGGUGGUUAAUACCCAUCAGGAAAGACAUCACUCACAGAAGAAGCACCGGCUAACUCCGUGCCAGCAGCCGCGGUAAUACGGAGGGUGCGAGCGUUAAUCGGAAUUACUGGGCGUAAAGCGCGCGUAGGUGGCUUGAUAAGCCGGUUGUGAAAGCCCCGGGCUCAACCUGGGAACGGCAUCCGGAACUGUCAAGCUAGAGUGCAGGAGAGGAAGGUAGAAUUCCCGGUGUAGCGGUGAAAUGCGUAGAGAUCGGGAGGAAUACCAGUGGCGAAGGCGGCCUUCUGGACUGACACUGACACUGAGGUGCGAAAGCGUGGGUAGCAAACAGGAUUAGAUACCCCAGUAGUC